Molecule: long non-coding RNA, 3115 nt
Organism: Megalobrama amblycephala (Wuchang bream)
Lineage: Eukaryota; Metazoa; Chordata; Actinopteri; Cypriniformes; Xenocyprididae
Exons: 4
Source: RefSeq, a predicted model, not a curated record
AACACCCAUCACUUGAACUUGAACGCACUCGAUCCGUUUUGGCCUGGGCUUCUUCGGUGCAACUUUGUCGCGUCAAGAGCAUACAUGCAGACAUGCAAACAGGAAGUUUGGAGACUAAAGCUGAGGCUCUGAAAAGCCAGCUGGACCAGAGAGAUUUUACAAUCCCUGGCUAAGGCAGGCUAUUGUGCCUCAGCUGGGAACUGUGGUCAAAUCUGACCUGGCAUCGACCGGAGCCAGUGGAGGCUGAGGAGGCGCCAGGUAGAGGUCCAUGAUCCGGCAGCCGAAGACCAAGACUGUGGAACAGGUUUUGGAGUCUAAUUCAGAAGUGACACCAGCUGGAUUCCUGACAGGAAGUCGGUGAGGAAGUGACCCGGGAGCAGCGGGAAUGAGCCGGGACCCAGAUGGAGCAGCUCAUAGCACAGUAAACUGAACUCCAAGGACUGGAGGGCAGAAUAAAAGCGUGGGAGAGCAUCGCAGAGCUGCUGAAACAUUAUAACGUUUUAGUGUCUACAGCCCAGACUCCAGGUCUAGAUGCUUUGCAAGUCAACAACAGCCCUACUCAUAAAUUCAGACAGAAAAACAGACGUCCGCACCACGAGAGCUCAAAGCAGAGGUAAAGAAACCGAGAGCGAGCACAGGUAAAACAUACUCUGUUAUUCAGUUCUGUUUACUGCAUCACACACAAACAGCUCAUGACAGGACAGAAAGAGAUAAAAGAGUCUUUUUGUGCUCACAGACUGCGUACUCGCCAAACAACAAAAGCUGCUGUUUUUCUACAACCAUCCGUUGGUGUGACAGCACAGACAUGUCCAUUGAAUUCAGUCCAAAUAAAAGACAAGAUAUGACGGUGAAAGUGUGCAUUUGGCUUGCUUUACCAGUUUUGAUAAAACAUCUUGACAUUGCUUUAUUGUCUGUUUCAUGAGGAUUUACAAAUGGGGUUGUGCUGAUAGAACAGAAAACAUCACCAUAGAAAAAUACAGGUUCAUGCAUGCAGUCAUAUGUUUAAAUAUAUAUAUGAUCAUCAAACUGAAAUUCUCUCUCAGCUCUCCAGUGUCCUCUAGUGGCCAAUGGAUUUGCAUUUUCAGUAAAUUGUGUCUGGCAGAGAAAUAAAAUAUUGAAAAAUUGAUCAAAGUUCAUAAAACUUGGACAAAUAAUGAAAAAUAGUAAUACAAGCAGUAUCCUAAUCUCUCAAAAAGGUCUGUAAGUUCAGCAAGUCAUGCUAAUAAGCUCGACUAAUGAGCAAUUGUUUUGCUGAAUUCGAGUGCUGCUCAUUUGUUCUCAAAUCUUGAAGCUGUAAUAAGCCUUAAAUCUUGAUGGCAGCCCAGGCCUUGGACACAGAGACUCUACAAACUGUAAUUCCACUGAGAGUCUGUCUGAAAAACAACAUAACAAGCUGCAGAAUCUAGACUGAGCUGGUUGAGUCGAGUACAGAGUUAGCAGGUUAACAUUAACUUAGCUGAUAAGUGGUGGUGGAACACUGUAUCUUUUACUUUCAUUACAAAAAGGUACUGUGGCAGCACCUUGGUACACUAUCAUGACAACCAUAUUCAUGUACAAUAGAAUUUACAUCAAAAAUGCACCUCGGUACAUGAUGGCUUUUUGGUCAUCUAAUAUGAUAUUUUUACUAUGGUACCCUGGAGUAAAUGCCAUGGUACAGAGAUUUUUCUACAAUCCCUUAAUAAAAGGUGGCAGUACAAUGGUACAGUAAUAGUAAUACCAUAAUGGUAAUGGUACUGAACCAUGGUAGUAGCAUGUUAUUUUUUGUAAGAGAUGGUAUAUUUCAAAGUAUCAUAUUAUUAUCUUCUGUUACUAUCACUAAAUCAUGGUACUGCCACAGUAAUUUUCUGUAAAGUAUGGUCUUUAGUACUACGCAUUGCAUUUUAUUUUACAGUGUGUGCACUUACAGUGUACUUACUCAAGAAAAUAUUGUGUAAUAUAAGGAAGCGUGGACUUAAGUUUAAGUUAAGGUUCUGGCUUAGUACUUAGUUUUUACUCAUAUAUUGUAAUUACAUAGUAAUUAGAGAGUUACUAAUGGUGUUCUAUAAGGUAAAGAAUACCUUGGUAAAGAGACACCCUCUCCUUAGUGAGACUUUUUUUUUUUCUGUGGAGGUAAAGAAACUACAUUGAGUGAGAGAAUUAUACACUUAAUAAAGGUUUUUUAUUGGCAUAUUGUUCCAUGAGGAACGUUUAGCAUCCACUGAACCCUUUUAUUGCAUGAAAGGUUCUUAAUAGUGGGAAAAGAUUGACUAAGAAAAACAUGGUUCAUUUUAAAACUGUUCACUAAAAGCUUCUUUGGAGAACCCAAAUUGGUUCUACUUUGGCAUCCCUACGAAAACCCCUUUUUGGAAUCUUUAAAUAAAUAAUGAUGUGUAAAACUUACAACAACAACAACAAAAAAAAAAAAAAGCCAUUCAAAAGCACUUUUUAAAAUAAACAACCAAAACCAAAGUCUAGAUAAAUGCAUGUUAGACAUUGUAUACAGUAUCAGCGGUAGCCUGAUUCUACUCAUUCGUGUUUAAUGAGGAUGGAGUUUUCCCCCAAGCUCUGUAAUUACCUGAGUCAUUUGCCUAAAAUAUAGAGGGACUGCAUAAUUCCCAGGAGAGCUGCUUUUGUCUCCCUUUGCCUCAUUAGGGUGAGUACACAGAUCUCCAGCGGUGGAGCUCAUUGUAAGAGCUUAAGAAAGCCAAGGCAGGUAAUUGGGAGGUCAGCUCAGGCUCGGAAUUCCUGCGUUUGUGCUCUUCACUUCGGUUUCCAAACGACACAAGUGCUGGGAGUCUUUAGUUCACCCGCACUGGUAUUGAAAUCUCUUGAAGUGAGGUCAAACUCAAUGGAGAGGAAGGCAGCAAGAUGAAAUUGAGAUGACAGCUAGAGUGCAGGAACUAAAGAGACAGGCCUCAGGUGUUUAUCACCAUCACUCAAUGUCUGCAUGCUCACAUAUUCAUUGUUUAUCCUGAUGCAGGGUUUUUCCUCAAAUAACGUAAGAAGGAAUGGAAGCCUUUUCAGCCCAGCAAUUAGAUAAAUGCUUUCAAAAGCUUGGGGUGAAAUUUAAAAGAUUUAAUAAAGAUAAUAAAGAAAUACAUUUAUUUAGCAAGGAUGCAUUAAAUUGAUCAAAUGA